ACGCUGGCGGCGUGCUUAACACAUGCAAGUCGAACGAGAAUCAAUGGAUAGAGGAUUCGUCCAAUUGAAGUUGAGGAAAGUGGCGGACGGGUGAGUAACGCGUGAGGAACCUGCCUUUCAGAGGGGGACAACAGUUGGAAACGACUGCUAAUACCGCAUGAAGCAUUUGAUUCGCAUGUAUUGAAUGCCAAAGAUUUUAUCGCACAUAGAUGGACUCGCGUCUGAUUAGCUAGUUGGUGGGGUAACGGCCUACCAAGGCGACGAUCAGUAGCCGGACUGAGAGGUUGAUCGGCCACAUUGGGACUGAGACACGGCCCAGACUCCUACGGGAGGCAGCAGUGGGGAAUAUUGCACAAUGGGGGAAACCCUGAUGCAGCGACGCCGCGUGAGGGAAGAAGGUAUUCGUAUUGUAAACCUCUGUCUUCGGGGACGAUAAUGACGGUACCCGAGGAGGAAGCACCGGCUAACUACGUG
This 474-nucleotide ribosomal RNA is filed under the name uncultured bacterium. RNAcentral's name for it is "bacterial SSU rRNA". It matches the Rfam family "Bacterial small subunit ribosomal RNA", at positions 33 to 507 of the family's 1533-position model. The record is from RNAcentral.